Molecule: unclassified non-coding RNA, 191 nt
Filed under: uncultured Cladophialophora
Lineage: Eukaryota; Fungi; Ascomycota; Eurotiomycetes; Chaetothyriales; Herpotrichiellaceae
Description: sequence contains ITS1
Source: RNAcentral
ACGAGUUAGGGUCUUCCAGGCCCGACCUCCCAACCCUAUGUUUAUUGAACCUCUGUUGCUUCGGCGGACCCGUCCUACGACCGCCGGAGGACCGCCGCGAGGCGUCCUCUGGCCAGCGUCCGCCGAUGGCCAACCACUUAACUCUGAAUGAAUCGUGUCAUUAUGUCUAAGUCUAUGAUUAAAUUAAAGCA